UUAAAUUGAAGAGUUUGAUCAUGGCUCAGAUUGAACGCUGGCGGCAGGCCUAACACAUGCAAGUCGAACGGUAACAGGAAGCAGCUUGCUGCUUCGCUGACGAGUGGCGGACGGGUGAGUAAUGUCUGGGAAACUGCCUGAUGGAGGGGGAUAACUACUGGAAACGGUAGCUAAUACCGCAUAAUGUCGCAAGACCAAAGAGGGGGACCUUCGG
Molecule: ribosomal RNA, 214 nt
Filed under: Escherichia coli
Lineage: Bacteria; Pseudomonadati; Pseudomonadota; Gammaproteobacteria; Enterobacterales; Enterobacteriaceae
Description: partial 16S ribosomal RNA
Rfam family: Bacterial small subunit ribosomal RNA
Source: RNAcentral